Molecule: long non-coding RNA, 264 nt
Organism: Vespula pensylvanica (western yellowjacket)
Lineage: Eukaryota; Metazoa; Arthropoda; Insecta; Hymenoptera; Vespidae
Exons: 3
Source: RefSeq, a predicted model, not a curated record
UAUAAUAUUUGAUUUGACUCGAUUGUACCUGUGAUGACGUCAUCGAAUUAUAGGGACUACUUUCCUUCCUUGCCACUAGUCUCAUCGCCAUCUUGGACGCAGUGACAUGUGUACACGGUGUUUCGUCGCUCCGCAUAAUUACAGAUUUCUAAGAAGCUGUAGCUACAAUACAGAACGUCGAAUAUACCAGUUUAUACAUCUCUUCGAAACGAAUCGAACUUUAUUGCAAUCGUGCGCGUAGCAGUGCAGCAAUCGAGUGUGUGU